ACCCCAUCCCCACCCUGUCUGACAUCUGCUAGUGGGAGGAUGGGAGACGUGGGAAGAGUUUCUUCUGGUGAGUCCUUGGGUGGUCCUGAGAAGAUCACAUCCCUCUCAGAGCCAGAGUUUCCUCAGCGGGCAAUGGAGGUUCUUGAUGCUCCUGGAGGAAGACUGAGAGGAUCCCCUGAGGCAAACCUUUGAGCGGCUGCAUUCCAGGCUGGCAACCCGAUGGCCACUCCAUGCAUGACCCUGGGCCAGGGCCACCCAAUGAAGCUGCUCCGGAAAACUCAGUCCACAGAAACUCCAGGAAACAAGAAAAGUUUACUCUUGGUCCACACUGAACUGUGAGAGGGCUCAUGAAGUACCAACAGGAUGUAAGCUCUCAGCUUCUGCUCACGCAUCAUGCCAGCCACCCUGCCUGUUGCCAUGUUUCCUACCAUGAUGUUCGUGGACUCACCUGAAACUGUAAGAAAGCUUGCACAUUAGAAGCCUUUUAAAAGAUACCGUGGUCAUGGUGUCUCUUCGCAGCAAGAGAACAGUAACUGAGACGGGGUGAGGAUCUAGGAGGUUUGCCCUCACAGAAGGCAUAUCCUGGAAGGGGAUCCAACCUCCUCUUCCUCUCCCCCUUCCUCCUCCCCUCCCUUUCUGACGGCUCUCAUGAGGUGAGCAUCUUGCCUUUACUGUACAAUGCCCUCUGCCACUCAGUUUGUCUUCACCGCAAGCCAAGGGUAACCAGGCGAGAUGACUGUGGGCUGGAAUUCUAAAACCAUGAGACAAAU
This is a long non-coding RNA of Apodemus sylvaticus (European woodmouse), 770 nucleotides long. RefSeq lists it as uncharacterized. The transcript has 3 exons. The record is from RefSeq and is a predicted model, not a curated record. NCBI's taxonomy places the organism in Eukaryota, Metazoa, Chordata, Mammalia, Rodentia, Muridae.